Molecule: ribosomal RNA, 201 nt
Filed under: uncultured Lactobacillus sp.
Lineage: Bacteria; Bacillati; Bacillota; Bacilli; Lactobacillales; Lactobacillaceae
Description: partial 16S ribosomal RNA
Rfam family: Bacterial small subunit ribosomal RNA
Source: RNAcentral
GCUAAUACCGGAUAACAACAGAUGAUGCCUAUCAACUGUUUAAAAGAAUGGUUCUGCUAUCACUCUUGGAUGGACCUGCGGUGCAUUAGCUAGUUGGUAGGGUAACGGCCUACCAAGGCGAUGAUGCAUAGCCGAGUUGAGAGACUGAUCGGCCACAUUGGGACUGAGACACGGCCCAAACUCCUACGGGAGGCAGCAGGG